This 217-nucleotide ribosomal RNA is filed under the name uncultured bacterium. RNAcentral's name for it is "partial 16S ribosomal RNA". It matches the Rfam family "Bacterial small subunit ribosomal RNA", at positions 1286 to 1500 of the family's 1533-position model. The record is from RNAcentral.
UCCCAGUUCGGAUUGCAGGCUGCAACCCGCCUGUAUGAAGUUGGAAUCGCUAGUAAUCGCGGAUCAGCAUGCCGCGGUGAAUACGUUCCCGGGCCUUGUACACACCGCCCGCCACACCAUGAGAGUCGGGAACACCCGAAAUCCGUAGUCUAACUUUCACGAGAGGACGCGGCCGAAGGUGGGUUCGAUAAUUGGGGUGAAGUCGUAACAAGGUACC